This 858-nucleotide ribosomal RNA is filed under the name uncultured bacterium. Its description in RNAcentral is "bacterial SSU rRNA". It matches the Rfam family "Bacterial small subunit ribosomal RNA", at positions 8 to 912 of the family's 1533-position model. The record is from RNAcentral.
AGGGUUUGAUCCUGGCUCAGGAUGAACGCUGGCGGCGUGCUUAACACAUGCAAGUCGAACGAACCUUCGGGUUAGUGGCGGACGGGUGAGUAACGCGUGAGAAUCUGCCCUCAGGAGGGGGAUAACGGUUGGAAACGACCGCUAAUACCCCAUAUGCCUACUGGUGAAAUGAAUUUCGCCUGAGGAUGAGCUCGCGUCUGAUUAGCUAGUUGGUGAGGUAAUGGCUCACCAAGGCUUCGAUCAGUAGCUGGUCUGAGAGGAUGAUCAGCCACACUGGGACUGAGACACGGCCCAGACUCCUACGGGAGGCAGCAGUGGGGAAUUUUCCGCAAUGGGCGAAAGCCUGACGGAGCAACGCCGCGUGAGGGACGAAGGCCUCUGGGCUGUAAACCUCUUUUCUCAAGGAAGAAGAUAUGACGGUACUUGAGGAAUAAGCCACGGCUAAUUCCGUGCCAGCAGCCGCGGUAAUACGGGAGUGGCAAGCGUUAUCCGGAAUUAUUGGGCGUAAAGCGUCCGCAGGCGGCUUUUCAAGUCUGCUGUUAAAGCGUGGAGCUUAACUCCAUCAUGGCAGUGGAAACUGAAAGGCUUGAGUAUGGUAGGGGCAGAGGGAAUUCCCGGUGUAGCGGUGAAAUGCGUAGAUAUCGGGAAGAACACCAGUGGCGAAGGCGCUCUGCUGGGCCAUUACUGACGCUCAUGGACGAAAGCCAGGGGAGCGAAAGGGAUUAGAUACCCCUGUAGUCCUGGCCGUAAACGAUGAACACUAGGUGUCGGGGGAAUCGACCCCUUCGGGUGUCGUAGCUAACGCGUUAAGUGUUCCGCCUGGGGAGUACGCACGCAAGUGUGAACUCAAAGGAAUUG